UGUGGGAGCGGGCUUGCCCGCGAAUGCGUCGGAUCAGUCAAUGAAUGUAUCGACUGUCACUCCGCCUUCGCGGGCAAGCCCGCUCCCACA
This 90-nucleotide non-coding RNA is filed under the name Pseudomonas lurida. Lineage: Bacteria; Pseudomonadati; Pseudomonadota; Gammaproteobacteria; Pseudomonadales; Pseudomonadaceae. The record is from RNAcentral.